GGUGUGUACUGGUCUUGAUGGAAGCUUACCUCUUGGUGGGUCGGCAUGCCCUUCGUUGGGUGUGUCGAUUAACCAGGACUUUUACUUUGAGAAAAUUAGAGUGUUCAAAGCAGGCUUUCGCCCGAAUACAUUAGCAUGGAAUAAUAGAAUAGGACGCGCGUCUUUAUUUUGUUGGUUUCUAAAUUCGCCGUAAUGAUUAAUAGGGAUAGUCGGGGGCAUUCGUAUUGCUUGGUCAGAGGUGAAAUUCUUGGAUUCUAGCAAGACGAACUACUGCGAAAGCAUUUGCCAAGGAUGUUUUCAUUGAUCAAGAACGAAGGUUAGGGGAUCGAAAACGAUCAGAUACCGUUGUAGUCUUAACAGUAAACUAUGCCGACUAGGGAUCGGACAAGCACGAUCUAUGACUUGUUCGGCACCUGAAGAGAAAUCUUUAAGUCUAGGUUCGGGGGGGAGUAUGGUCGCAAGGCUGAAACUUAAAGGAAUUGACGGAAGGGCACCACCAGGUGUGGAGCCUGCGGCUUAAUUUGACUCAACACGGGGAAACUCACCAGGUCCAGACACAAUAAGGAUUGACAGAUUGAUAGCUCUUUCUUGAUCUUGUGGUUGGUGGUGCAUGGCCGUUCUUAGUUGGUGGAGUGAUUUGUCUGGUUAAUUCCGGUAACGAACGAGACCUUAACCUGCUAAAUAGACCCGGGGCCUUAGGGAACCGGCUGUCUUCUUAGAGGGACUGUAGG
This 731-nucleotide ribosomal RNA is filed under the name uncultured eukaryote. RNAcentral's name for it is "SSU rRNA". It matches the Rfam family "Eukaryotic small subunit ribosomal RNA", at positions 671 to 1426 of the family's 1831-position model. The record is from RNAcentral.